CCUGAGCUAACAUCUGCUGCCAAUCCUCCUCUUUUUGCUGAGGAAGACUGGCCCUGAGCUAACAUCCGUGCCCAUCUUCCUCUGCUUUAUAUGUGGGAUGCCUGCCAUAGCAUGGCUUGCCAAGCGGUGUGUACGUCUGCACCUGGGAUCCAAACCGGCAAACCCUGGGUGGCCGAAGUAAAACGUGGGAACUUAACUGCUGCGCCACGAGGCCAGCCCCACAAUUACUGUUUAUCUAUACUGUCGAGGCCUCCCAUCCCUCCUCAUCCCUGUCUCCCAGGAAGAAACCAUCAAAUUGCAGUUUCAUGCCCUUGUCCAGAAGAGCUGCUGCUGGGACUGUGCUUUCCAAACAUAACCGACACAGAGUGUUUACUGCAUGGUCACUUUCAUAGCAAACACAGGAAGAGCACUCUGCCCCUUCCUCUGUUCGCAGAGGCUCUGAGAAAUGGUCAAGGGCUUGGCCCUGAAGCCGCAGAUGGAAUCGUCUGUGGAUCCCAACAGUCUUCCACAAUUAAGGCAGAAGAGGCCUUAGAGAGGUGGAGGGCAGCUCCCGUGAAUGCAGAGGUCCACAGAGGAACUGCCAGGCUUCUGUAAAGCCCCUAAAUUCAUGCAAAUGAAGGAAACAAGACUGAGCGGCCUUCUGUCCAGAAAGCAGGAAAUGAAGCCUGUCUGGGACCACAUAUUCCCUUGGGACACGUCGUAGUGUCAGAAAUGGGUUCUGGAAGAAGCUGGCCUUUGUUCAUUUCUGUUUCGUGAGUGAGCUCCUCCUCUUGGCCCUGGCUGGAGGGGUGGCUUCCCACCCACAUUCCCCAGGAGUGUUAAACCAAAGAGAAGCUCAUCAGGACUCCAGUCAGGCUCUGCUAUCUCUAGAGCCGCCAUCAGAAGCGCCCGCCCUCCUCAGCCUUGCUUUCCACUGACAGAAACGUUGACUUUUCCAGAUGAGAUGUUCUGAGCCAACCAGUUGCUCUCACAUGAAGCAGAACCACAGUCAUGAGGAGGCAGCUUAUCCUCGGGCCCUAAGAGGCCGGAGCUGAUGCUGUUGCACUUGGCUGGAUUGAUGUUUAAAUGUCCUCUGCCUCACAGGCAGCCUUCCCUCCGGCCGGAGGGACCCUGGAUCUCUGUAACCUCUGUGAGGGGUAAAGUCUACUGUUAAUCUCACUAACGAGGGGUCUGUUUCACAAACCGGCCAAGCCCUGGUUUCUUCCAAGGAGACAUAACAGUGUUUUCUGCAGAGGGGCCUGUGAUAAGAUAUCUCAGAAAUGGAGUGAUUUAGGGCUAGCCCGGUGGCGCAGCAAAGUUCACACGUUCUGCUUCGGUGGCCUGGGGUUCGCUGGGUUUGGAUCCCAGGUGCAUAGGGCACAGCUUGGCAAGCCAUGCUGUCUCAGGCAUUCCACAUAUAAAAUAGAAGAUGAUGGACACUGAUGUUAGCUCAGGGCCAGGCUUCCUCAGCAAAAAGAGGAGGAUUGGCGGCAGAUGUUACCUCAGGGCCAAUCUUCCUCAAAAAAGAAAAGAAAAAGAAAUGAGGUGAUUUAUAAAAAGGAUGUUAUUUCCUACAGAGUAGGAAGCUGGAAGAUCCUUUUAGAUAUUAUUUACUCAUUAGACAGACCGAUAAAGAAACUAAAGCCCAGAGCAGGGCAGUAGCUGCUGGAGGGCCCAGAGCCACGUGGUAGGAGAGCUGGGAGAGAGGCCUGGGUACUGAGCGAGCUGCUGUGUUUGGGCUGCUCUGCACAUCCCCGUGUUUCUGUAUUCCUCCAUGCUCACGGAGUCUUCCUCAGACUUCAGUCUCCAGAUGUGCCAUAGUUUAAUUUGGGGGUCCUCAAGUCAAAAUUUCAAGAACUGAAGAAUACGGAUCAUGAGACCUGCUGAAUAACAUCGAAGGAACUUCUGAACACGCCACCAUUUAAGCGGAGAGGGUCCCUCCCUUCCGCUGCAAUCAGGCUAUUACAGGCUCGCUCUGCCUCUUACCCGCUGGGCGCAGGCCAAGCCCAGAGCCCGGAGCUCCUACUAUGACUUGGCCGAGCAGCAAGCUAUUCAUCCACACGUCCAAGGCCACUUUUGUGCGAACAGCUUCGCAUCACCUGCCCCUGGAGACUUCGGAUCACCCCUCUGCUCCCCCGCCCUCCCCUGCUCCAGCCCCUCUCUGGCUGUGCAGGAGCCAAAGGGGAUUUGUGAUAACAGAGUCACAGGCACAGGCCCAACCCAGGCCCGAGGAGCUUGACCUGAGGCAAGAGCAUAGCCCAGAACAACACACGCCACUCCCCAGCAAGGAGGGGUGGCCUGGCACUCAAAUCGAAAACUCCUGGGCUUUUGAUGGAAGCCAUAAAACAAAGGUAGUAUUCCAGAAGGAAUCUCAGAUCCUUGUUCAUACUGGAGCCCAAGUGACCAUCAAAACAAGAGGCUGCUUCUCCAUAGGCAGUUCCGAGGAUCAAGGUUCCUGUUAAUUCUGGAUUUGGAAAAACAUACCUGGGAAGGAGGCAGGCACUCCCACUGCAUUACCUCUGAGAAAGACACACCUGCAAAUAACGUCCACUGUGGUGGAUUUGGGAUUGUCCAGAAUGUGACUGUGUAAGGCUGGGAUUGGAAGCCCGUUCUGAAUAUGUGCCUGAGUACCACGUCAGUUCAGCCGUGCUGAGCCUGAGCGAGGCGUCCUCCCUCACAAGCUUCCCAGGACCCCUUGGCUGUGCACACAAAGAGAAGCCGGCUUUUCUUGUUUGCGCCUUUGCUCCUUCCUAUUUGAUUGAAUUUGAAGAGGAACUGUUUGCCUUUGGCUGCACAUCCUGAAUCAUAAUCAGGAUGCUGCUGGCACAGAAAACCUGCUCCCACCCUUGCCUGAAAUAACUGAACAGGGAAGUCGAGAUCCUCCCCUCUCCAAACUUAAAGAAAGAGGCUCAUAAUUUAUGGAGUGCUGGCAAAGCAUCAAAAGUCAAUCCAGUCACUUACAGUAAAAUCAAGGAGGGCGGAACAAUGAAUAUAAAGUGAGAUUCAAACACCUCAUUAAGGGAACAAAGUGUCCAGUUGACACCAGAAUACUGAUGCUUACAUAUUUGUAAGCCAGAGUCCAGUGGCCUUCUGAGAGACUUCCUUGUCCGCGGGAUAUGAAAGGUAUAAAGCCACACCCUCAGCUUUUUCAGUCCUUCAACAAAUAUGCUUUGCUGAAACCAUCUAUCAAGCAUGGUGCUACUAAGGUAUAUUGGUUUCUUAGGGCUGCUGACACAAAUUACUAUAAACUUGGUGGCUUAAAGCAACAUAAAUUUAUUCCCUCAUAGUUCCAGAGGCCAGAAGUCUGAAGUCAAGGUGUUGGGAGGGCCAGACUCCCUCUGAAGCCUCUAGAGAACUUGCCUCAUUUCUUCCAGCUUCUGGUGGCUCCAGAUAUUUCUUGGCUUGUGGCUGCAUCACUCCUGUCUCUGCCUCUGGCUUGGCGUGACCUCCUCCUCCCUGAGUGUCUGUCUUCGGUGUGUCUCUGAGAAGGGUACUUGUCAUUGGAUUUAGGGCCCACUUGGACAAUCCAGGCUGAUCUCAUCUGGAGAUCCAUAAUUUAAUUGCAUUUGUGAAGACCCUUUUUCCAAAUAUGAUCACAUUCCUAAGUACUAGGGGUUAGGACUUGGUCAUAUCUUUUUGGGUGCCACCGUUCAAGAUCCAGAGGGUAGAAAGUUGAAAAGGACAGGGUUGUUGUUCUCAAGGAGUUCAGGCUAGUAGGGGAGACAAAUAGUUAAAUAACUAUAUCGAAAGAAUAACCGCAUCCAAAGCUGCGUUCCAGGUGCUGAGGGAUCUUAGAAGAGAUUGUACUGGGAACUGAUGCCGAGGUUGUGGUGGGGCAGAGGUAGGGUGUGUGUUUUUUUUUUAACCUUUGAACUCUACAAUUUCCUGGCAUCUAGAAAUCACUAUAGAACGUCAUCAGGUUGAAAAGACAAGUCCAGUUUGAAUAGUGAGGAUUAACACCGGCCCGGCCAGAUCUGUUGGGUCUGGCUGAGUUCAGCUAACCCUUUUGGUUGCCUCGAGGUUUUGGAGAGUCGGCAGGAAAAGGCGAGAAAGCCGAAGCCCAUGAAUUGGUUGAGAUUUUUGAUGGCUAUAUUUCUGAGAGGUGAAGAGCUGGAUGCCAUGAAAUGGGUCAUUGGCUUUCUCUGUGGCAGAGAAUGGGGAAGAGGACCGCUUGCAUCUGCCAUCCAUCCCAGGUCGGAGCGUGUGUGCCCCUGCAGGGCCACCUCGGGCCAAGGCUGUUGCCCCACUGAGAUCUCCUCCUCUGCUCCAAGGCCUUGGGCCGGAUGUUCUGUCUGAGCCUGGUGUGGUGGGGGAAGGCAGCUACUGCCCCAAGACAUGCUAGAGAGAAGAGACAGAACUGUUACUCACUUCUUUUUUGGGACAGCAUUUUUACAAGCUUUGCAGAACAUCACCUGCAGCUUUUUACAUUCUCCUGGGACUUUACCUUCUUUAUGAUUGUUUAUUAUAUUAAAAAGGUUCUUGAUAAUGGCUAUUAUGGAAUUAUUGUUAAUGUUCUUGUGCGUAAUAUGCUUGUUGUGAAAAAUGUCUUUAUUCCUUUUUUUUUUUAAAGAUUCACCCUGAGCUAACAUCUGUUGCCAGUCUUCCUCUUCUUCUUUUUCCUUCCCCAAAGCCCCAGUGCAUGGUUGUAUAUCCUAGUUGUAAGUUCUGGUUCUUCUAUGUGAGCUGCCGCCACAACAUGGCAACUGUCAGAAGCGUAGUGCGGUUCUGAGACCAGGAAGGGAACCCGGGCCACUGAAGAGGUGAGAGCACUGAACUUUAACCACCAGGCCAUCAGGGCUGGCUCAGACGUCUUUAUUCUUAAGGAGCGCAUGCGGAAGUGUUUAUGGGUGAUAUGUGAUAAUGUCUACAAUUUUCAAACACUUCAGUGACAAUAUGGGCACAUAAACCUAAUAACACAAAAAUGUUAAGAAUUGCUAGGUCUAGGCAGAAAGUAUAUGGAUGUUCAUUGCUCUAUUCUUUCACCUUUUCUCUAUGCUUGAAAUUAUUCAUAAUAAAAAACUUGGGAUAGAUUUGGAGAAGAAAAUUCUUGAAACAGAGUUUGUUGACCUGUGUUUCAUGGGCUCUGGCGGGAGAGGUGGAUGGGUGUCGGGGACCAGGAAGCUUCUAAAUUUACAUGUAAACUUUUGUGCUGUGUGUGUGUAUGUGUGUGUGUGUAUGUGUGUGUGUGUGUGUGUGUUUCUUCCCUCUUUGUGGGGAGGGAUUUAUUGUUUGUGCUUCUCCUCUCAUUCUCAAAUGAGUCUAUGACUGCCCCCCACAAGGUUAAACAUCCUUGCUUAAAGCUUGAGAUAAAUUUGCAUGCAUUAUACUUUUUGUAAAUGGAUGCAAACAGAGGAGCAGAGUCUGUUGCUUAUGUAUCAUUAGUAUUUUGUUGCAAAAUUUAAAUUAGAUUAUAAAACUAAAUUGGAUUCUACUUUCCCAUUAUCUUCAUUACUGGUUUCUUGAUUUUUCUUAAUUAAUUCUUUUCCUAUCAUAGUUGAAUUCUUAUACUCUUUUACAAGUUUAAAAUAUUGGUUGCUAACAUGAACAAAUCUGUUUUCCUUUGCACUAAUUUAAAACUGAAAUAAUAAUUUUGGUAUCCCUUUCUAGGUUGUAAAAAUAACACAGACUCACUGUAUACAACUUGUAAAAUACAGAAGUGUAUAAAGAAGGAAAUAAAAUUACCAUUAACCCGUGCUCCAGAGGUCUUAGAAUGUCCAUCAGGAGGGAACGCUUUGAACCAGGCAUCACGCUCUGGGCGGGAUUCCAAGUCAGCCCUGAAAACAGUCAGAGCUACCCCGGGUCCCCUCCUGGCUGCGCAGAAUGGCUGAAAGAGUGGGUUCUCCCUUCUGCCCGGCCCCCCACCCCGGCUCGGUUCCCCACGUCGUCUGAAGAGCCCGCUCUGAGCCCAGACAGCGACGAGACAAGGCGCUUUUCUUACGGCAGGACAUCCUCUCCUCACCCAGACCUCCAAGGAUUUCUCAUCAGAGAGACAAAGUAUCUUUAUUUUAAAGGCUCCAUGUAGCAGGGCCAGAAGUUUCUUGUGUUAUUAAGAAGGGGGUGGGGGAGGGGAAAGGGCCAAUGAGGCUACUUACUUAAUAGCUCCUAACAGCUGUGGAAAGUUUGAUGCAGCAGGAGCACCCGGACAGAAAAUUAAAAAACUAAUAAAGUCCUCAGUGUGGGGGCGCUGGCAUCAGGACAGCUUUACUUCUCCAGACACCUAAUAAAGAGACAUUCCGGGACACUCACUCAUAAGGGGAGUCUGCAGGGGUCACCGGGAACAGUGGAAAGCGAGCCAUGGAAACCUAGCAGUCACUCACAGAGCCGUGGGGAAGUUUCGUUUGCUUCUCCUCUUUCCCCCCCCUGCUUUUCUCCAUUUUGGAAGAAUGGCAGGGUGCUCAGGACCCAAAGAAGGAAAAGGAGGACUGAAAAAAAGAGAAAAAGAGGAGGGGGGCGAUUCCAGGAGCCUCGAUGUAGAAAUCAUGCACUUUCAUGGAGGGAAUGAGCGUGAAGCUGAGGUUGGCAGUUUAGACAUAGCAGGACGGGAGGUGAUGGUCACCAUGCAGGGGCACGUUGAGAUCCUGAGGCGGCUGGCUUCUGGAGGUAGCAGAGAAAGGCGGUUUAGAGAAAUGAGGUUUUAUUCAGCUGGAUUUUAUGAAGCACCCUCCUCACGAAAGGUUUUCUCGUGUGGGUUUUUCCACUGUCGUUACGAGGUCAUUUUGGAUCUGAGCUCCUUGGGGUCUGCUAGGUUCUGGGUUGCUGGGUUGGGACUUUUGCUUUAAAGGACAUUUAUGUUGUUUUGUCUUGGUCCUCAAGUUGGGCUUUGUGUAUUUGAAGAAAAAAAAUGAUGACUUGGGACAACCAAACCAUCAGCCAGUUGUGGAGGCAUCCACUGAGCUGGUGGGGCCAGUCUUCUCGCCAGCACCAAAGGUAGACUGCAGUGGCCUGCUAACAAAAGGAGAGUAAAGUGG
RNAcentral lists this long non-coding RNA (6947 nucleotides) under Equus caballus (horse). RNAcentral describes it as "lncRNA (ENSECAG00000054297.1)". The record is from RNAcentral. Lineage: Eukaryota; Metazoa; Chordata; Mammalia; Perissodactyla; Equidae.